GAUGAACGCUGGCGGCGUGCCUAAUACAUGCAAGUCGAGCGAACAGACGAGGAGCUUGCUCCUCUGACGUUAGCGGCGGACGGGUGAGUAACACGUGGAUAACCUACCUAUAAGACUGGGAUAACUUCGGGAAACCGGAGCUAAUACCGGAUAAUAUAUUGAACCGCAUGGUUCAAUAGUGAAAGACGGUUUUGCUGUCACUUAUAGAUGGAUCCGCGCCGCAUUAGCUAGUUGGUAAGGUAACGGCUUACCAAGGCAACGAUGCGUAAGCGACCUGAGAGGGUGAUAGGCCACACUGGAACGGAGACACGGUCCAGACUCCUACGGGAGGCAGCAGUAGGGAAUCUUCCGCAAUGGGCGAAAGCCUGACGGAGCAACGCCGCGUGAGUGAUGAAGGUCUUCGGAUCGUAAAACUCUGUUAUUAGGGAAAAACAAAUGUGUAAGUAACUAUGCACGUCGUGACGGUACCUGAUCAGAAAGCCACGGCUAACUACGUG
This 497-nucleotide ribosomal RNA is filed under the name uncultured bacterium. RNAcentral describes it as "partial 16S ribosomal RNA". It matches the Rfam family "Bacterial small subunit ribosomal RNA", at positions 28 to 507 of the family's 1533-position model. The record is from RNAcentral.